AUGUCCACAGCUAACUUCAUGACGGCACCUACCAAAGGUUUCAUGGGCACCUACUCAUUCAACACCAAGGAUUCUGUGUGGAGAUGGCAUGGGGAGUGGGCCUUGCCAUUCAGCGGCCAAGCACACUUUGACAGCGAGCUCAACGCUUGGGUUGGCCUUCAUCGGGAUGGCUACAUCUCUGCUUGCCAAGUUGCCUCCCCCAGCUGCCACAACACAACUCCAACAUUGCAGCUGGACUGCCAGACAACCAAGGAGAAGUGGUUCUGCAAGGACCCGAAGCCGCACAUGGGAGCCUCUCUCACCUACAUGGGCACGAGCAAGUUCUGCCUCGUCGAGUGCGUGAAACGGGAGGGAGUGGAGGAGGAACAGGCUCUCGGAGACCAUGAUGGUUGUGUGCUCCAUAUCACCAUAUUUGGGCUCAAGUACAAUCACAAGGGAGAGCUGCGGAUCACAGAUCACCGCUCAACGCGCUCCUUCAUAGUGUCUAGUCAUAAAGAUCAUUUUGGUCCUGUAGCAUUUUGGAUGUAG
RNAcentral lists this ribosomal RNA (528 nucleotides) under Triticum aestivum (bread wheat). RNAcentral's name for it is "partial small subunit ribosomal RNA". Lineage: Eukaryota; Viridiplantae; Streptophyta; Magnoliopsida; Poales; Poaceae. The record is from RNAcentral.